Long non-coding RNA from Herpailurus yagouaroundi (jaguarundi), 468 nucleotides. RefSeq lists it as uncharacterized. The record is from RefSeq and is a predicted model, not a curated record. The transcript has 2 exons. NCBI's taxonomy places the organism in Eukaryota, Metazoa, Chordata, Mammalia, Carnivora, Felidae.
AUACCAACACCACCUGAUAUCAGAGGAUGUGUGACUGCAACGAAGUCAGAAAGGAAAGAGACAGUGGUCUUAACUGAUGAUGGUUCAUACACCCUUCUUUUGCAAAUUUUGUUCAAAAAAAAGAAAAGUCUACCACGUGAACCAUCUCUGGGAUUCUUUCCAGGACCUUGAAACUGGCCUGUAUCUCCAUUCCUGUCCCAUCCAGAUUCUUCUGCCCUUAACUCCCUACACUCCCGGGAAGCCUGCCUUGAAGGGAACGGAUGCAGCAUGAGGUGCGCCAGCAGAUGGAGAAAGGGGGCCACAUGCAUAGCCUGUAGAAGCUGGAAAAGGCAAGGAAAAAGAUUCUCCCCUAGAGCCUCCGGGAAGCAGCACGGCCCUCUUGACACCUUGAUCUUAGCCCGGGGAGACCUGUGUUGGCCUUCUACCUUUGGGAGCUGUAAAAUAAUAAAUCUGCAUUGUUUCAAGCUA